RNAcentral lists this ribosomal RNA (85 nucleotides) under Salmonella enterica subsp. enterica serovar Worthington str. BCH-3008. Lineage: Bacteria; Pseudomonadati; Pseudomonadota; Gammaproteobacteria; Enterobacterales; Enterobacteriaceae. The record is from RNAcentral.
CCUGGCGGCACUAGCGCGGUGGUCCCACCUGACCCCAUGCCGAACUCAGAAGUGAAACGCCGYWGMGCCGAUGGUAGUGUGGGGU